GCAAAUGGGGUGCUAAAUUUAGCUGAGAUUAUACCCAAUAACCUGAACUAGGUAAUGCUAGCGGAGGGAUUUUUCUCA
This 78-nucleotide non-coding RNA is filed under the name uncultured Anaerococcus sp. RNAcentral's name for it is "TPP riboswitch (THI element)". The stretch from base 3 to 72 matches the Rfam family "TPP riboswitch aptamer (THI element)", at positions 8 to 91 of the family's 105-position model. Rfam says of the family: Vitamin B(1) in its active form thiamin pyrophosphate (TPP) is an essential coenzyme that is synthesised by coupling of pyrimidine and thiazole moieties in bacteria. Lineage: Bacteria; Bacillati; Bacillota; Tissierellia; Tissierellales; Peptoniphilaceae. The record is from RNAcentral.